UACGUAGGGUCCGAGCGUUAAUCGGAAUUACUGGGCGUAAAGCGUGCGCAGGCGGUUUUUGUAAGCCAGAUGUGAAAAUCCCCCGGGCUUAACUUGGGAACUGCAUUUGGGACUGCAAGGCUGGAGUACGGCAGAGGGAGGUGGAAUUCCACGUGUAGCAGUGAAAUGCGUAGAGAUGUGGAGGAACACCGAUGGCGAAGGCAGCCUCCUGGGCUAGUACUGACGCUCAUGCACGAAAGCGUGGGGAGCAAACAGG
RNAcentral lists this ribosomal RNA (256 nucleotides) under uncultured bacterium. Its description in RNAcentral is "partial 16S ribosomal RNA". It matches the Rfam family "Bacterial small subunit ribosomal RNA", at positions 524 to 776 of the family's 1533-position model. The record is from RNAcentral.